This 492-nucleotide ribosomal RNA is filed under the name uncultured bacterium. RNAcentral describes it as "bacterial SSU rRNA". It matches the Rfam family "Bacterial small subunit ribosomal RNA", at positions 28 to 510 of the family's 1533-position model. The record is from RNAcentral.
GAUGAACGCUGGCGGCGUGCUUAACACAUGCAAGUCGAACGGUGAAGGAGGAGCUUGCUCUUCUGGAUCAGUGGCGAACGGGUGAGUAACACGUGAGCAAUCUGCCCUUGACUCUGGGAUAACAGUUGGAAACAGCUGCUAAUACCGGAUACGAGACGUGACCGCAUGGUCAACGUCUGGAAAGAACUUCGGUCAAGGAUGAGCUCACGGCCUAUCAGCUAGUUGGUGAGGUAAUGGCUCACCAAGGCGACGACGGGUAGCCGGCCUGAGAGGGUGACCGGCCACACUGGGACUGAGACACGGCCCAGACUCCUACGGGAGGCAGCAGUGGGGAAUAUUGCACAAUGGGCGAAAGCCUGAUGCAGCAACGCCGCGUGAGGGACGACGGCCUUCGGUUGGUAACUAGCUUUGUACUAGAACGAAAAGUACUUAAUAACACUAGAGGCGUCAUGACGGUACUGUAAGAAUAAGACACCGGCUAACUACGUAGCC